This 445-nucleotide ribosomal RNA is filed under the name uncultured Rhodospirillaceae bacterium. RNAcentral's name for it is "bacterial SSU rRNA". It matches the Rfam family "Bacterial small subunit ribosomal RNA", at positions 336 to 798 of the family's 1533-position model. The record is from RNAcentral. Lineage: Bacteria; Pseudomonadati; Pseudomonadota; Alphaproteobacteria; Rhodospirillales; Rhodospirillaceae.
UUCCUACGGGAGGCUGCAGUGGGGAAUAUUGGACAAUGGGCGCAAGCCUGAUCCAGCAAUGCCGCGUGAGUGAUGAAGGCCUUCGGGUUGUAAAGCUCUUUUGCCUGCGACGAUGAUGACGGUAGCAGGAGAAUAAGCCCCGGCUAACUUCGUGCCAGCAGCCGCGGUAAUACGAAGGGGGCUAGCGUUGUUCGGAAUUACUGGGCGUAAAGGGCGCGUAGGCGGCCCUGUCAGUCAAGCGUGAAAGCCCCGGGCUCAACCUGGGAAUUGCGCCUGAUACUGCAGGGCUUGAGGGUCGGAGAGGAUGGUGGAAUUCCCAGUGUAGAGGUGAAAUUCGUAGAUAUUGGGAAGAACACCGGUGGCGAAGGCGGCCAUCUGGACGACAUCUGACGCUGAGGCGCGAAAGCGUGGGGAGCAAACAGGAUUAGAUACCCCAGUAGUCGUU